RNAcentral lists this transfer RNA (74 nucleotides) under Cirroteuthis muelleri. RNAcentral's name for it is "tRNA-Ile". The record is from RNAcentral. Lineage: Eukaryota; Metazoa; Mollusca; Cephalopoda; Octopoda; Cirroteuthidae.
AACGUUGCGCCGGAAUGAGCGGAUUAUAUUGAUGUUAUAAAAAAUAAGAUUUUUUUCACAAAUCUUCUACGUUU